Long non-coding RNA from Ictidomys tridecemlineatus (thirteen-lined ground squirrel), 3313 nucleotides. RefSeq lists it as uncharacterized. The record is from RefSeq and is a predicted model, not a curated record. NCBI's taxonomy places the organism in Eukaryota, Metazoa, Chordata, Mammalia, Rodentia, Sciuridae.
ACCCCAAUGAGGUAAUGAUUUGGCAGGUAUGGGAUAGAGCCUGCACAUCUACAUUUUUAAUAAACAUCCCUGAUGACUCUGAUAUACAAACCAGUUCUGGAAUUACCAACCAGGUCAGCUCCGUAAUUUUAUAAAUGACCUUGCCCAAAGUCAAAAGUGACACAAUCCCAGGUCUUUACUGCCUGCCCAGCUUCCCUUCUUCCACCUCAGUUCACAUCUGUUUCAAGGAUAUUGUUCACCAAUCCUUGAGUUUUCAUAAUAUUUUGUUCAUUUUGAGUGUCUGUAACUCUCCAGCCUUAAGAGUCAUAACCAAUUAAGAAAAACUUGAAAGUCUGAUCUGCCCCCAACUCUGGGUCUAAUUCUGUCCUAAUAGAGAGGAUAUGAAGAGCUGGAAGCCAGAGGUUUUGCAUCUAGGAAGUUCAACUGCUAAUCUUAUCUAUAUUUUUAUUUUUUGAGUUGUAGAUGGACACAAUAUCUUUAUUUUCUUUAUUUUUAUGUGGUGCUGAGGAUUGAACCCAGUGGCUCACACAUGGGAGGGGCCACCUGUAUAUUCCUUCCUCAGUCUUUCUGGACCUUCUGGAAUCCGGAAGAAACACUCUUCUUCGAUGUUGUCAUCGUUGUUGUCGUCAUCACCGUGGUGCCCCCUCCCCCAAUGUCCUGUACUCCACAGGUCUCAGCACUUGUGGCACUGAAUUGCACUUGUCUCUCUGUCCAUUUGUUUGGCUUUCUAGACAGUGAGUUCAGCAAGGGCUGGGGUGUAUCCUACCUGUUGUGACAUAAUAAGAAAUAGAUACUGGGUCUCAGCUCCCUGUUCCUGACACAGAAUUCUUAAAACCCUUGUACUUUCCUGAGUGAUAGUGGUACCAGAAACAUCUUUUGGCAUAAUUUUUUUUUUUCCUGACGCAAGAGCUUGUAGAAUAUGCAGGAAAAUGAGAGUCUUUUUGUAUGUUCAUAGGAUGAAUGGUGGCUGGGGUCCCUAGAAAGCUUCAGUCAGGGGGUUAGUCAUCAGAGGAAAUAGCCAUGUGAUUGGAGGGCUGGCAAUUUCAUCCCCUUCUCUCCCUUCCCAUACCCGCCACUUCCAGGGAGGGUCUGGAGACUGAGUUCCCUUGUCAGUGACCAAUGGUUUAGUUCUUUACGCCAGCAUAAUGGAACCUGCAUAAAGUUUGGAGAGUUUUGGGGUUGCUGAGAUCAUCCAUGUGUGUGGAGGGUGGUGUACCCCAACUCCAUCAGGACAGCAGAUUUCCAGACUUUGCCCUGUAUAUGUUUUUAUCUGACUAUUGAUAAUAUCCCUUACAGAAAACUGAAAAAUGUAAGAAAAGCAUUCCCCUGAGUAUUGUGUGUCUCGAGAGCAAAUAAUCAAACAUGAAGGAGAGGUUGUGGAAUGUACAAUUUUUAUAGUCAAGUCAGACAGAGCUAUGAGUUAUAACCUGAAUACCUGCUACUUGAGACUAGCAGCAGAUCACGACAGUUUUGGGGGACUGAGCCCUGAACCUGUGGGAUCUGUACUAACUCUGGGUAGUUAAUGCCAGGACUGUAUUAUAGGACUCCAGGUAGGUAUUCAUGGAGAACUGAAGAAAUGCUUGGUAUUUGGAAACCACACAACUCUGGUGUCAAAAGCGUUGUGCAUUUAGGAACAGUUUGUCUUUCAGUUGUUCAUGCUCAUACCCCAAACAGUACAUACACUCCAAGCGAAGAUUUUUUACCCCCAAGAGAGUUAUCUCUUAUCCUACAUUGGAAAAUAUUAUAGAGCACUUCUUAAAAGGGGAAAAGAAAAAGCCUCUGAACUGAUCUCAAUCAAUAACAGUUAAGUAUGUUUACACAGGUCACUAACAUAAUUAGUUAUUUUUAAUGCUAAAAGAAUUAUCAUAAAGUUAGUAAUUAUUUCUAAAGAUAUAAUCUCAAGAUUACAAGAUAUUUGAGGUCAUUGUAAACAAACCUUUUAAUGAUGAUUUUAUUGAACAUGGUUAUGUUUUGAAGACACUAGUUCUAUGUCUAUGAAGAAAAUAUGAAAAUGAAAAUACCAUGAUUCUAUGGGAAAUAACUACUUUUGGUCUGAGGUACUCAUGGAUUCAAAAUGGCUGCAUCUCAACAGUAUUAGGUAAGAUGCUCUGAAAAACUAUUUUAGGCAUGACUGAGAAAUAGCUGGUGAAGACGUGAAUGAUAAAAAGGACAUGCGAAGAAGAUGAGGUUAGUUGUUAAAAGUUAAGCAUGGGAAAAUAUUUCUAAGUUAACAUACUAUGUAGACUUUAUGCGAUUUAAAGUAUGCAUGUCAAUCUAAAUGAACAGAUCAUAUGCUGUUAAGUAGAAGGUAGCUGUUUUAUCAAGAUUUCUCAGUUAUUUCGAUAUUCACAUUAGCCAAAAAAUAUGGGAAUUUUCUCAUUACAAAAUAAAAAGAUAAUAAUAUUUGUGAAAAUUAUGUUUGGGGAAAACACAGCUUUCAGUUUGUUGAUUCAGGGGAAACUACAGUGAUGGAUAUAGGAUGCUGUAACAUUGGCCUUUUGAGAACUGUUUUCAGACUAAUUCACCAUCUCUCAGAACCAUGAAGAUUCCCUAGAAGGCCCUAUGUAUGUAGUAGUCAGAGCCAUAGCAAUUGUAAAGGCCAACUCAUCCUAUACACAUCCCAUCCUGCCGUCGACACCCAUGCACAAGGACAAAACAAGGUCAUUUUUGCACAUCACUCAUGACUUUGCUGGUUUCAGAAACCCAAACCAAACUGAAUAAACACAAUAGAUUUGAUAGUUCAUGUAACUAAGAAGUCGAUUGGGGAUAUGAUUGUUUACUAUCUGAACUUCUUCAGAGGCUCAGAAGAUGUGAGAAGGACUCUGCUUCCCUCUACCUCUCGGCUUUUCUUUCCCGUCAUGUGUGACUAAUCCUCGAGCAGCCUCUUCCCUCUGGCUCACAAAAAAGGAAACAGCUUCCAGACGUGAAGUCUCUCAGCUCAAGUCCAGUGGGAACACAGCCCUGCCCCACCCAAGCUCAGGUCCAACAGGAGCACACUUCCACUCUGCCCAAGCCUUCCAGCACCACCUCCAUGCAUUGCUUUGGUUCUAGGUAGAUCAUGGUCACAUUCCUAGCACGACACCAUGGCGGGGGUAAACAUCCAAAGAACAUCCUGAGAUAAGGAGGAAGAAUGCUUGGUUCUGUACAGGGAAAUGGAGGAUCAGCAGUCUGAAAGAUGAGUGGUUAGAGAAAAUAAAGACAAGAGGUGUCCAUUACAUUCUAAUGUUUUUCUGAUUUUAACAGUGAAUCAUGUUAAUUGUAUAUUAUUCAAAAGGUCUAAAAAAAGGAAAUAAAUGUACCACUCAUGUUCUCA